RNAcentral lists this ribosomal RNA (810 nucleotides) under Escherichia coli. RNAcentral's name for it is "partial 23S ribosomal RNA". It matches the Rfam family "Bacterial large subunit ribosomal RNA", at positions 612 to 1421 of the family's 2925-position model. Lineage: Bacteria; Pseudomonadati; Pseudomonadota; Gammaproteobacteria; Enterobacterales; Enterobacteriaceae. The record is from RNAcentral.
AUAAUGGGUCAGCGACUUAUAUUCUGUAGCAAGGUUAACCGAAUAGGGGAGCCGAAGGGAAACCGAGUCUUAACUGGGCGUUAAGUUGCAGGGUAUAGACCCGAAACCCGGUGAUCUAGCCAUGGGCAGGUUGAAGGUUGGGUAACACUAACUGGAGGACCGAACCGACUAAUGUUGAAAAAUUAGCGGAUGACUUGUGGCUGGGGGUGAAAGGCCAAUCAAACCGGGAGAUAGCUGGUUCUCCCCGAAAGCUAUUUAGGUAGCGCCUCGUGAAUUCAUCUCCGGGGGUAGAGCACUGUUUCGGCAAGGGGGUCAUCCCGACUUACCAACCCGAUGCAAACUGCGAAUACCGGAGAAUGUUAUCACGGGAGACACACGGCGGGUGCUAACGUCCGUCGUGAAGAGGGAAACAACCCAGACCGCCAGCUAAGGUCCCAAAGUCAUGGUUAAGUGGGAAACGAUGUGGGAAGGCCCAGACAGCCAGGAUGUUGGCUUAGAAGCAGCCAUCAUUUAAAGAAAGCGUAAUAGCUCACUGGUCGAGUCGGCCUGCGCGGAAGAUGUAACGGGGCUAAACCAUGCACCGAAGCUGCGGCAGCGACGCUUAUGCGUUGUUGGGUAGGGGAGCGUUCUGUAAGCCUGCGAAGGUGUGCUGUGAGGCAUGCUGGAGGUAUCAGAAGUGCGAAUGCUGACAUAAGUAACGAUAAAGCGGGUGAAAAGCCCGCUCGCCGGAAGACCAAGGGUUCCUGUCCAACGUUAAUCGGGGCAGGGUGAGUCGACCCCUAAGGCGAGGCCGAAAGGCGUAGUCGAUGG